CAGCCGCCGCGGUAAUACGGAGGGGGCAAGCGUUAUCCGGAAUUAUUGGGCGUAAAGGGUACGUAGGUGGCCUUUUAAGCGUAGGGUAUAAGGCAAUGGCUCAACCAUUGUUCGCCCUAUGAACUGGAAGGCUUGAGUGCAGGAGAGGAAAGCGGAAUUCCUAGUGUAGCGGUGGAAUGCAUAGAUAUUAGGAGGAACAUCAGCGGCGAAGGCGGCUUUCUGGACUGCAACUGACACUGAGGUACGAAAGCGUGGGGAGCAAACAGGAUUAGAUACCCCUGUAGUCCCUGUCUCUUAUACA
RNAcentral lists this ribosomal RNA (301 nucleotides) under uncultured bacterium. RNAcentral's name for it is "partial 16S ribosomal RNA". It matches the Rfam family "Bacterial small subunit ribosomal RNA", at positions 509 to 808 of the family's 1533-position model. The record is from RNAcentral.